Molecule: ribosomal RNA, 253 nt
Filed under: uncultured bacterium
Lineage: Bacteria
Description: partial 16S ribosomal RNA
Rfam family: Archaeal small subunit ribosomal RNA
Source: RNAcentral
UACCAGCACCCCGAGUGGUCGGGACGAUUAUUGGGCCUAAAGCAUCCGUAGCCGGUCUUACAAGUCCUCCGUUAAAUCCAACUGCUUAACAGAUGGGCCGCGGAGGAUACUAUGGAGCUAGGAGGCGGGAGAGGCAAGCGGUACUUAGUGGGUAGGGGUAAAAUCCGUUGAUCCAUUGAAGACCACCAGUGGCGAAGGCGGCUUGCCAGAACGCACUCGACGGUGAGGGAUGAAAGCUGGGGGAGCAAACCGG